CGCGGGAUGGAGCAGUUGGCAGCUCGUCGGGCUCAUAACCCGAAGGUCGUAGGUUCGAGUCCUGCUCCCGCAACCA
Molecule: transfer RNA, 76 nt
Filed under: Tepidibacter hydrothermalis
Lineage: Bacteria; Bacillati; Bacillota; Clostridia; Peptostreptococcales; Peptostreptococcaceae
Description: Tepidibacter sp. SWIR-1 tRNA-Met
Rfam family: tRNA
About the family: Transfer RNA (tRNA) molecules are approximately 80 nucleotides in length.
Source: RNAcentral